Molecule: ribosomal RNA, 349 nt
Filed under: uncultured bacterium
Lineage: Bacteria
Description: bacterial SSU rRNA
Rfam family: Bacterial small subunit ribosomal RNA
Source: RNAcentral
AGAGUUUGAUCAUGGCUCAGGAUGAACGCUAGCUACAGGCUUAACACAUGCAAGUCGAGGGGCAGCAUGUUGGUUGCUUGCAACCAACGAUGGCGACCGGCGCACGGGUGAGUAACGCGUAUCCAACCUACCCUUGUCCAUCGGAUAACCCGUCGAAAGGCGGCCUAACACGAUAUGCGGUUCACAGCAGGCAUCUAACGUGAACGAAAUGUAAAGGAGAAGGAUGGGGAUGCGUCUGAUUAGCUUGGUUGGCGGGGUAACGGCCACCAAGGCGACGAUCAGUAGGGGUUCUGAGAGGAAGGUCCCCCANAUUGGAACUGAGACACGGUCCAAACGUCCUAGGGAGGCA